Molecule: long non-coding RNA, 1003 nt
Filed under: Homo sapiens (human)
Lineage: Eukaryota; Metazoa; Chordata; Mammalia; Primates; Hominidae
Description: long non-coding RNA NONHSAT150615.1
Source: RNAcentral
CAGUUGUCCAACCAAAAUCUAGUACUUUGCUAUUCAAAAGUGUCUGGGGACCAGCAGCAUCAGCAUCUCAGGUCCUGCCCCAGGCUAUUGAAUUAGAGCCUGCAUUGGACAAAACCACCCACCCCCAGUGACUUGAGGUCAUCCAGGGCACGACUCCUUGAACUGUUCACUGAUUUGAGCUGUAAUCCAGAAAUGAUGAAGAAUGCAGCAGAUUCAUAUUUCUCACUUUUACAAGGUUUCAUAAAUUCUUUGGAUGAAUCUACCCAAGAAAGCAAGUUACGAUAUAUUCAAAAUUUCAAGUGGACUGAUACAUUGCAAGGACAGGUUCCAAGUGCCCAGCAGGAUGCUGUUUUUGAAUUAAUUUCCAUGGGAUUUAAUGUAGCUUUAUGGUAUACCAAAUAUGCUUCAAGACUGGCUGGAAAAGAAAAUAUAACAGAAGAUGAAGCAAAAGAAGUUCAUCGAAGCCUAAAGAUUGCAGCUGGGAUUUUUAAACAUUUAAAGGAAAGUCAUCUCCCAAAACUCAUUACACCUGCGGAAAAAGGAAGAGAUUUAGAGUCACGACUCAUAGAAGCAUACGUUAUUCAAUGUCAGGCUGAAGCUCAAGAAGUAACAAUUGCUCGAGCAAUUGAACUAAAACAUGCUCCUGGACUAAUUGCUGCACUGGCGUAUGAAACAGCCAAUUUCUAUCAAAAAGCUGAUCAUACUUUAUCCAGUUUGGAGCCUGCAUAUUCUGCCAAAUGGAGAAAAUAUCUUCACUUGAAGAUGUGUUUCUACACAGCUUAUGCUUACUGUUACCAUGGUGAGACUUUAUUGGCUAGUGAUAAAUGCGGUGAAGCAAUCAGGUCUCUCCAAGAAGCAGAAAAAUUGUAUGCAAAGGCAGAAGCACUGUGUAAAGAAUAUGGAGAAACCAAAGGACCUGGACCAACAGUCAAACCUUCAGGACAUCUGUUCUUUAGGAAACUUGGAAACCUUGUGAAGAACACCCUAGAAAAAUGUCAGAGAG